GCCAGAUGUGGUGGCACAUGUCUGUAGUCCCAGCUAGCAGGGAGGCUGAGAUGGAAGGAUGGCUUGAACCCAGGAGUUCAGGGCUGCAGUGAGCUGUGCCCAUGCCACUGUACUCCAGCCUGGGUGACAGAGCAAGACUCUGUCUCUA
Unclassified non-coding RNA from Callithrix jacchus (white-tufted-ear marmoset), 148 nucleotides. It matches the Rfam family "Metazoan signal recognition particle RNA". From Rfam's summary of the family: The signal recognition particle (SRP) is a universally conserved ribonucleoprotein. NCBI's taxonomy places the organism in Eukaryota, Metazoa, Chordata, Mammalia, Primates, Cebidae. The record is from Ensembl.